Molecule: ribosomal RNA, 500 nt
Filed under: uncultured Glomeromycotina
Lineage: Eukaryota; Fungi; Glomeromycota
Description: partial small subunit ribosomal RNA
Rfam family: Eukaryotic small subunit ribosomal RNA
Source: RNAcentral
CCAAUAGCGUAUAUUAAAGUUGUUGCAGUUAAAAAGCUCGUAGUUGAAUUUCGGGAUCAGCGCGUCGGUCGUGCCUCCGGUAUGCACUGGCGCCGCUGGUUUCUCCCUUCUGAGGAACCGUGAUGUCAUUAAUUUGGUGUUGCGGGAAAUCAGGACUGUUACUUUGAAAAAAUUAGAGUGUUUAAAGCGGGCACGCGCUUGAAUACAUUAGCAUGGAAUAACGAAAUAGGACGUUCGAUCUUAUUUUGUUGGUUUCUAGGAUUGACGUAAUGAUUAAUAGGGAUAGUUGGGGGCAUUAGUAUUCAAUUGUCAGAGGUGAAAUUCUUGGAUUUAUUGAAGACUAACUACUGCGAAAGCAUUUGCCAAGGAUGUUUUCAUUAAUCAAGAACGAAAGUUAGGGGAUCGAAGACGAUCAGAUACCGUCGUAGUCUUAACCAUAAACUAUGCCGACUAGGGAUCGGAUGAUGUUAAUUUUAUAAUGACUCAUUCGGCGCCUUACG